This 2723-nucleotide long non-coding RNA is filed under the name Carassius auratus (goldfish). RNAcentral's name for it is "lncRNA (ENSCARG00000017097.1)". Lineage: Eukaryota; Metazoa; Chordata; Actinopteri; Cypriniformes; Cyprinidae. The record is from RNAcentral.
UUUAAUCUAAAAUUAUAUAUAUUAUGAAUUAUAAAAUACAUUUGAUAUAUUUAAUUUGAAUCUAUAUUUCAGGAAUGUUUAGAUGAAGCAUCCUCUGUCAAGACCCAUCCUCCGCAGAGUAGGUCACCCUAAAGACGGUCUCAGUCCACCAAAACAUCACACCAGACACUUUGACAGCGGAGGAUCAAAGGUCAGAAGGGUUUCUUCCAGAUGCAGAACACCACACCAUCGGCCAUAACUGCGUCCCUCGUUCAGCUCACACUGGACCCCUCAGAACGGCUGGUCUUCGUGUUGGACCAUAGAUGGACAGAUCUGCUGAGAAUUGCCCGUGAAGAUCUCUUGGCAACGCACCAUAGGAGCAAGGAUCUUCUUCAACAGGCCGAAGGCUUGUUUUUUGUUGUUGUUGUUUUUCUAUGUUUUCCACAACUUUAAAUUGUAUUAUUAUUAAUAUUAUUGUAGCUGUUGUUGUUUAGUCUACAAUUUUAAAUUAUUUAAUUUAUUUCCAGUUGUUAAAUAAAACAUCAGAAGUAUUGGCCUUGUUUACACUGUACUUUAGUGUGUUAAUUAAUUGUAUUGACUUUGUAUUGUUAUUUUAUCUUGCUCAGUUUUGUAAACACUAAAUGUUAGUAAUGGCUAAUAUUAAACUCUGUAAAUAAUUAUUUUAUUUAAAAUACUCUACCAGUCAAAUGUUUUUCAGCAGAAAGAUUUGUAAUGUUUUUUGAGGAGUCUCUUCUGCUCACCAAGCAUGCCUUUAUUUGAUCCAAAGUACAGCAAAAAAAAGUAGCAUUUUAAAUAUUCUUACUAUUUUAAAUCAGCUGCUUUAUAUUAGAAUAUAUAGAGUAAUUUAUUUCUGUGAUGCUCCGCUGUAUUUUCAGCAUCAUUCCUCCAGUCUUCAGUGUCACAUAAUCUUCAGAAAUCAUGAAAAUAUGAUGAUUUACUGCUCAGAAACAUUUCUGAUUAUUAUUAUUAUUGUUGUUGUUAUGUUAUGUUGAAAACAGCCGAGUACAAUCUUUUCAGGUUUCUUACAUGAAUUGAAAGUUUAAAAGAACAGCAUUUAUCUGAAAUGUAUGUGUGUGUGUAUAUAUAUAUAUAUAUAUAUAUAUAUAUAUAUAUAUAUGACCGUGGUAUAUGUAUGUAUGUAUAUAUAUUUUCUUUUUUUUUUUUUUUUUUUUACAUUUGGCCUUGUUUGAACUGUAUUGAACUGUGUGUUAAGUUUUAUUGAUUAAAAAAUGUAUACAUUUUGUUGAUUUUCUUUUUUAUUGAUAUUAAAUUUUAUUGACUUGCUCAGAUAAUUCAAUUCAAUUCAAGUUUAUCUGUAUAGCGCUUUUUACAAUACAAAUCGUUAGAAAGCAACUUUACAGAAAAUUAUGUUUCUACAAUAUUUAGUAAUAGUUUAUUAGUGGUGACUGUCAGUUUGUGCACCUAUAACAGGAUUUGUAGAAAAUAAUGCAAGACGUAGUCAGCCAGAUGAUGAACAUUAUUAAUAUUAUUAAUUAAUAAUUAUUAUAUGAUGCAGUCACACUUGUAGCAAUAAUUGUUAGUUCUGUUUGUUGAUUCAGGGUUAGCAUCAUCUGGGGUCCUCUGAGGGUCAGCAUCAUCUCUUCUCAGGUGUUCUGGAUCCAGACUGGAGCUUGUGUAAAUCCUAGUUACCACUGGAUGAAGAUCCCAGCAGAAACAGAGAAACACAUAGAGACAUCAUUAGCAUAGCUGCUGAUAUGUAAACACUGAAUGUUAAUAACUGUUACUAUUAAACAUACAUAAUUAUUUAAUGUAAAACAUAUUUUUAUUGUUUUUUUCUGUUCUCCAGAUCUUUAUUUUUAUUAUAUUUGUUGCUGUUGUUUAAUAAUCUAUGAUUAUUUUAUGUAUAUUUAUUUAAUCAUUAUAUAUUUUGGUUCGUUUUUCUUAUCAUUUUUAUAAUAAGUAUAUUACUUUACUAUAAAUAAAAUGGAUAACUUAAUUUUUUGUGAGUGUUAGUUAUAUUACAUAUAUAUAUAUAUAGGUUUUCUGUACACAGUUAUACAAAUAUAAAUAGAUGUCUCUUUAAAAAUAAAGGCCUGAAACGUCAAAAUGUUCUUUUUAAUAAUUCACAAUUUUCUAUAUUAAAAAUAACUAUUCCCUAUUAUAAUGUAUAUGUUUCUUAAGAUCGUUGCACAUUUUGUACACCAUACAAAAGAACAAUUAUUACAAGAUUUAUUUUAUCUUUGUUCACAAAGUUCGUCUAUUAUAUGUUAAUCGUACUUAAAGUGUAUCUAGAUGAAAAAACGAAAACAAACUCAUUGUAUGGUAUUUGUGGCCAAGACGGGAUUCGAACCUCUAAUUCUGUGUAUUUUUUUCGCCCCGCCUUCCUUGAAUUUCCUUCGUUCCUAUUGGCUAGUUAGCGCUCUACACCUAUCCGUGACUGGCCUCUGCGGCCUUCGCGUGUAAAGCAGACGUGAUAACCACUACACUAUGGAACCACUUGUAUAUCACAGAUUGUGUGAACGGGGAAAAAACACACUGACCACCAAACUGGCCGGUCCACAGCUUCGAAUUUAACAAAGCGUAAGAGCCUUUGUUUGUUGUUGAGUUUGGCUCCGUUUUCUUAUCAUUUCUUAUCAAAGCGCCAUGCGUCCUGUGGGAACCAAAGUCAUCCCGAGCCGAGUCUGUCCAAAGUGCAAGACAACUUUGUUGUACAAAUUGCAUUAAAUUUUAAAUGUUUCUUCUCUUACUUCAUAAUAUUUUUU